RNAcentral lists this long non-coding RNA (316 nucleotides) under Mytilus galloprovincialis (Mediterranean mussel). Lineage: Eukaryota; Metazoa; Mollusca; Bivalvia; Mytilida; Mytilidae. The record is from RNAcentral.
CCAUUUUUCUAAAAUUUUAGUAUUCUUUUAAAAAAUCUUCUCUGAAACUACGGGGCCAAAUUUAACCAAACUUGGCCACAAUCAUCAUUAGGGUAUCUAGUUUAAAAAAUGUGUGGCUUGACUCUGCCAACCAACCAAGAUGGCCACCAUGGCUAAUUAUUGAACAUAGGGGUAAAAUGUAGAUUUUGGCUUAUAACUCUGUAACCAAAGCAUUUAGAGCAAAUCUGACAUGGGGUAAAAUUGUAUAUCAGGUCAAGAUCUAUCUGCCCUGUAAUUUUCAGACAAAACAGACAAACUGUUGUUGGGUUGCUGCCCC